This is a long non-coding RNA of Meriones unguiculatus (Mongolian gerbil), 1205 nucleotides long. RefSeq lists it as uncharacterized. NCBI's taxonomy places the organism in Eukaryota, Metazoa, Chordata, Mammalia, Rodentia, Muridae. The transcript has 3 exons. The record is from RefSeq and is a predicted model, not a curated record.
UUGCAUCUCUUUGAAACGGUCCAGAUCCCUGUGCCGGUUUUCCCAGAGUGAACUUUUCGUGCUGCUUUGCUGUUUUGCUGGAUGGUACCAUCUCUGUUGCUGCUGCUGCUGUGGCUUGCUGCUUUGUUCUUUGACUGGACUGCUAGUAUCCUGAUGACUGAGAUUGAUCUCAAUAUUCUUCAGAUUGUUAUUCUCUGUGAAAGUUGUGGUAACUCUAUAAUCUUAUCUGUUCAAAUACCCAGUGCUGGACUAUUUGAUUGAUGCCUUACCUAUUACAAGAGAAGGAGGGACAAAGAUAGCCAUGUUUAUAAAACAAGGUAAUAAAGAUUGAAAUUUAACAUUGGAAACAGAAUACAGCUCGUUCCUAUCAUCGGUGGAGCUAAGGAGUGGAAUGGCUGUGAACAUCCAUGAAGACAGAAUCACUGACUCUUCACAGACCUUGUCUGGUAGCGACGAAUGGAAAUUUUCAGCAUUAUGAAACACUGUGCUUCUGCUUUCAUGGUACAUUAUUAAGGGCACUUGGAAGAAUUAAACUUGAUUUGUUCAUGCUGAAACCAAUAUUGCUGCAUUCUUACAUCAGACAGGAAUGAAACUAAAUAUGCCUGGGCUAUUUUGCUCCUAUAAGCUGUGGAGCCCUUCUUAAAGUGAAAAACCAGGAGCUGAUUCUUUGAGAUGAGGGGCCCAAAAAUACACGUAAGAAACAGCCCAGUUCUCUCUCCUGUGUCUAGCCACCCUGUUUCUAUUAGGGUGGAAAACUGCUUCAAUGACAGUCCUGAAAACAUUCAAGAAAUAUACACACGUACAAACACUGUAAGUACAUUAUAUGUUUCAAUAUUCAAAUACUUCUCCAGCUCUUUAAGAAUGGUGGAUCAAUGGAACCGAACAAAAGACCCAGAAAUAAAUCCACACACCUACAGAUACUUGAUUUUUGAUAAAGAAGCCAAAACCAUACAAUGGAAAAAAUAUAGCAUCUUUAACAAAUGGUGCUGGUCUAACUGGAUUUCUACAUGCAGAACAAUGAAAACAGAUCCAUACUUAUCACCCUGCACAAAACUAAAGUCCAAGUGAAUCAAAGACCUCAACAUAAAACCAGACACACUGAAUCAGUUAGAAGAAAAAGUGGGGAAGAGCCUUGAGCUCAUUGGCACAGGAGAAAACUUCCUGAACAGAUCACCAACAGCACAGGCUCUAAGAUCAACAAUCAA